CGGGACACGUGGUAUCCUGUCUGAAUAUGGGGGGACCAUCCUCCAAGGCUAAAUACUCCUGACUGACCGAUAGUGAACCAGUACCGUGAGGGAAAGGCGAAAAGAACCCCGGCGAGGGGAGUGAAAAAGAACCUGAAACCGUGUACGUACAAGCAGUGGGAGCACGCUUAGGCGUGUGACUGCGUACCUUUUGUAUAAUGGGUCAGCGACUUAUAUUCUGUAGCAAGGUUAACCGAAUAGGGGAGCCGAAGGGAAACCGAGUCUUAACUGGGCGUUAAGUUGCAGGGUAUAGACCCGAAACCCGGUGAUCUAGCCAUGGGCAGGUUGAAGGUUGGGUAACACUAACUGGAGGACCGAACCGACUAAUGUUGAAAAAUUAGCGGAUGACUUGUGGCUGGGGGUGAAAGGCCAAUCAAACCGGGAGAUAGCUGGUUCUCCCCGAAAGCUAUUUAGGUAGCGCCUCGUGAAUUCAUCUCCGGGGGUAGAGCACUGUUUCGGCAAGGGGGUCAUCCCGACUUACCAACCCGAUGCAAACUGCGAAUACCGGAGAAUGUUAUCACGGGAGACACACGGCGGGUGCUAACGUCCGUCGUGAAGAGGGAAACAACCCAGACCGCCAGCUAAGGUCCCAAAGUCAUGGUUAAGUGGGAAACGAUGUGGGAAGGCCCAGACAGCCAGGAUGUUGGCUUAGAAGCAGCCAUCAUUUAAAGAAAGCGUAAUAGCUCACUGGUCGAGUCGGCCUGCGCGGAAGAUGUAACGGGGCUAAACCAUGCACCGAAGCUGCGGCAGCGACGCUGAUGCGUUGUUGGGUAGGGGAGCGUUCUGUAAGCCUGUGAAGGUGUGCUGUGAGGCAUGCUGGAGGUAUCAGAAGUGCGAAUGCUGACAUAAGUAACGAUAAAGCGGGUGAAAAGCCCGCUCGCCGGAAGACCAAGGGUUCCUGUCCAACGUUAAUCGGGGCAGGGUGAGUCGACCCCUAAGGCGAGGCCGAAAGGCGUAGUCGAUGGGAAACAGGUUAAUAUUCCUGUACUUGGUGUUACUGCGAAGGGGGGACGGAGAAGGCUAUGUUGGCCGGGCGACGGUUGUCCCGGUUUAAGCGUGUAGGCUGGUUUUCCAGGCAAAUCCGGAAAAUCAAGGCUGAGGCGUGAUGACGAGGCACUACGGUGCUGAAGCAACAAAUGCCCUGCUUCCAGGAAAAGCCUCUAAGCAUCAGGUAACAUCAAAUCGUACCCCAAACCGACACAGGUGGUCAGGUAGAGAAUACCAAGGCGCUUGAGAGAACUCGGGUGAAGGAACUAGGCAAAAUGGUGCCGUAACUUCGGGAGAAGGCACGCUGAUAUGUAGGUGAAGCGACUUGCUCGUGGAGCUGAAAUCAGUCGAAGAUACCAGCUGGCUGCAACUGUUUAUUAAAAACACAGCACUGUGCAAACACGAAAGUGGACGUAUACGGUGUGACGCCUGCCCGGUGCCGGAAGGUUAAUUGAUGGGGUCAGCGCAAGCGAAGCUCUUGAUCGAAGCCCCGGUAAACGGCGGCCGUAACUAUAACGGUCCUAAGGUAGCGAAAUUCCUUGUCGGGUAAGUUCCGACCUGCACGAAUGGCGUAAUGAUGGCCAGGCUGUCUCCACCCGAGACUCAGUGAAAUUGAACUCGCUGUGAAGAUGCAGUGUACCCGCGGCAAGACGGAAAGACCCCGUGAACCUUUACUAUAGCUUGACACUGAACAUUGAGCCUUGAUGUGUAGGAUAGGUGGGAGGCUUUGAAGUGUGGACGCCAGUCUGCAUGGAGCCGGCCUUGAAAUACCACCCUUUAAUGUUUGAUGUUCUAACGUUGACCCGUGAUCCGGGUUGCGGACAGUGUCUGGUGGGUAGUUUGACUGGGGCGGUCUCCUCCUAAAGAGUAACGGAGGAGCACGAAGGUUGGCUAAUCCUGGUCGGACAUCAGGAGGUUAGUGCAAUGGCAUAAGCCAGCUUGACUGCGAGCGUGACGGCGCGAGCAGGUGCGAAAGCAGGUCAUAGUGAUCCGGUGGUUCUGAAUGGAAGGGCCAUCGCUCAACGGAUAAAAGGUACUCCGGGGAUAACAGGCUGAUACCGCCCAAGAGUUCAUAUCGACGGCGGUGUUUGGCACCUCGAUGUCGGCUCAUCACAUCCUGGGGCUGAAGUAGGUCCCAAGGGUAUGGCUGUUCGCCAUUUAAAGUGGUACG
This 2197-nucleotide ribosomal RNA is filed under the name Escherichia coli. RNAcentral's name for it is "partial 23S ribosomal RNA". It matches the Rfam family "Bacterial large subunit ribosomal RNA", at positions 418 to 2600 of the family's 2925-position model. Lineage: Bacteria; Pseudomonadati; Pseudomonadota; Gammaproteobacteria; Enterobacterales; Enterobacteriaceae. The record is from RNAcentral.